RNAcentral lists this transfer RNA (91 nucleotides) under Colwellia sp. 39_35_sub15_T18. RNAcentral describes it as "tRNA-Asp". The record is from RNAcentral. Lineage: Bacteria; Pseudomonadati; Pseudomonadota; Gammaproteobacteria; Alteromonadales; Colwelliaceae.
GGAGUGGUAGUUCAGUUGGUUAGCUUUUGUUUAACGUAAGCGGCCUGUCACGCCGGAUGGUUUAUCGCGGGUUCGAGUCCCGUUCACUGUU